Molecule: ribosomal RNA, 492 nt
Filed under: uncultured bacterium
Lineage: Bacteria
Description: partial 16S ribosomal RNA
Rfam family: Bacterial small subunit ribosomal RNA
Source: RNAcentral
AGUGAACGCUGGCGGUAGGCCUAACACAUGCAAGUCGAACGGCAGCACAGUAAGAGCUUGCUCUUACGGGUGGCGAGUGGCGGACGGGUGAGGAAUACAUCGGAAUCUACUUUUUCGUGGGGGAUAACGUAGGGAAACUUACGCUAAUACCGCAUACGACCUACGGGUGAAAGCAGGGGAUCUUCGGACCUUGCGCGAUUGAAUGAGCCGAUGUCGGAUUAGCUAGUUCGCGGGGUAAAGGCCCACCAAGGCGACGAUCCGUAGCUGGUCUGAGGGGAUGAUCAGCCACACUGGAACUGAGACACGGUCCAGACUCCUACGGGAGGCAGCAGUGGGGAAUAUUGGACAAUGGGCGCAAGCCUGAUCCAGCCAUACCGCGUGGGUGAAGAAGGCCUUCGGGUUGUAAAGCCCUUUUGUUGGGAAAGAAAAGCAGCAGGUUAAUACCCCGCUGUUCUGACGGUACCCAAAGAAUAAGCACCGGCUAACUUCGUG